RNAcentral lists this unclassified non-coding RNA (216 nucleotides) under soil metagenome. RNAcentral describes it as "partial contains 5.8S ribosomal RNA, internal transcribed spacer 2, and large subunit ribosomal RNA". The record is from RNAcentral.
AACGGUCUAUACCUGCGGUACCUGCGGAAGGAUCAUUACCGAGUUUACAACUCCCAAACCCAUGUGAACAUACCUAUCGUUGCUUCGGCGGGAUCGCCCCGGGCGCCUUGUGUGCCCCGGAUCCAGGCACCCGCCGGGGGACCUUAACUCUUGUUUUAUUUAGAAUCUUCUGAGUAGUUUUUACAAAUAAAUAAAAACUUUCAACAAUGGAUCUCU